RNAcentral lists this ribosomal RNA (416 nucleotides) under uncultured Pseudoalteromonas sp. Its description in RNAcentral is "bacterial SSU rRNA". It matches the Rfam family "Bacterial small subunit ribosomal RNA", at positions 63 to 474 of the family's 1533-position model. The record is from RNAcentral. Lineage: Bacteria; Pseudomonadati; Pseudomonadota; Gammaproteobacteria; Alteromonadales; Pseudoalteromonadaceae.
CGAGCGGUAACAGAAAGUAGCUUGCUACUUUGCUGACGAGCGGCGGACGGGUGAGUAAUGCUUGGGAACAUGCCUUGAGGUGGGGGACAACAGUUGGAAACGACUGCUAAUACCGCAUAAUGUCUACGGACCAAAGGGGGCUUCGGCUCUCGCCUUUAGAUUGGCCCAAGUGGGAUUAGCUAGUUGGUGAGGUAAUGGCUCACCAAGGCGACGAUCCCUAGCUGGUUUGAGAGGAUGAUCAGCCACACUGGGACUGAGACACGGCCCAGACUCCUACGGGAGGCAGCAGUGGGGAAUAUUGCACAAUGGGCGCAAGCCUGAUGCGGCCAUGCCGCGUGUGUGAAGAAGGCCUUCGGGUUGUAAAGCACUUUCAGUCAGGAGGAAAGGUUAGUAGUUAAUACCUGCUAGCUGUGACG